Molecule: ribosomal RNA, 435 nt
Filed under: uncultured bacterium
Lineage: Bacteria
Description: bacterial SSU rRNA
Rfam family: Bacterial small subunit ribosomal RNA
Source: RNAcentral
AACGCGAAGAACCUUACCUGGCCUUGACAUGUCUGGAAUCCUGCAGAGAUGCGGGAGUGCCUUCGGGAAUCAGAACACAGGUGCUGCAUGGCUGUCGUCAGCUCGUGUCGUGAGAUGUUGGGUUAAGUCCCGCAACGAGCGCAACCCUUGUCCUUAGUUGCCAGCACGUAAUGGUGGGAACUCUAGGGAGACUGCCGGUGACAAACCAGAGGAAGGCGGGGACGACGUCAAGUCAUCAUGGCCCUUACGGCCAGGGCUACACACGUGCUACAAUGGUCGGUACAAAGGGUUGCUAGCCCGCGAGGUUACGCCAAUCUCAAAAAGCCGAUCGUAGUCCGGAUUGGAGUCUGCAACUCGACUCCACGAAGUCGGAAUCGCUAGUAAUCGCGGAUCAGAAUGCCGCGGUGAAUACGUUCCCGGGCCUUGUACACACCG